AUUGAACGCUGGCGGCAGGCUUAACACAUGCAAGUCGAGCGGAGCGAGGGUGCUUGCACCUUAGCUUAGCGGCGGACGGGUGAGUAAUGCUUAGGAAUCUGCCUAUUAGUGGGGGACAACAUUCCGAAAGGAAUGCUAAUACCGCAUACGCCCUACGGGGGAAAGCAGGGGAUCUUCGGACCUUGCGCUAAUAGAUGAGCCUAAGUCGGAUUAGCUAGUUGGUGGGGUAAAGGCCUACCAAGGCGACGAUCUGUAGCGGGUCUGAGAGGAUUAUCCGCCACACUGGGACUGAGACACGGCCCAGACUCCUACGGGAGGCAGCAGUGGGGAAUAUUGGACAAUGGGCGGAAGCCUGAUCCAGCCAUGCCGCGUGUGUGAAGAAGGCCUUUUGGUUGUAAAGCACUUUAAGCGAGGAGGAGGCUACUUAGAUUAAUACUCUAGGAUAGUGGACGUUACUCGCAGAAUAAGCACCGGCUAACUCUGUGCCAGCAGCCGCGGUAA
Molecule: ribosomal RNA, 501 nt
Filed under: uncultured bacterium
Lineage: Bacteria
Description: partial 16S ribosomal RNA
Rfam family: Bacterial small subunit ribosomal RNA
Source: RNAcentral